RNAcentral lists this ribosomal RNA (305 nucleotides) under uncultured bacterium. RNAcentral describes it as "bacterial SSU rRNA". It matches the Rfam family "Bacterial small subunit ribosomal RNA", at positions 334 to 656 of the family's 1533-position model. The record is from RNAcentral.
GGGUCCUACGGGAGGCAGCAGUGGGGAAUAUUGCACAAUGGGGGAAACCCUGAUGCAGCGACGCCGCGUGAGUGAGGAAGUAUUUCGGUAUGUAAAGCUCUAUCAGCAGGGAAGAAAAUGACGGUACCUGACUAAGAAGCCCCGGCUAACUACGUGCCAGCAGCCGCGGUAAUACGUAGGUGGCAAGCGUUGUCCGGAUUUACUGGGUGUAAAGGGCGUGCAGCCGGAGAGGCAAGUCAGAUGUGAAAUCCGCGGGCUCAACUCGCGAACUGCAUUUGAAACUGCUUCCCUUGAGUAUCGGAGAG